GACGGGGACCCGCACAAGCGGUGGAGCAUGUGGUUUAAUUCGAAGCAACGCGAAGAACCUUACCAGGCCUUGACAUCCCAAGGAAAGAUCCUUAACCGGAUCCCCUCUUCGGAGUCUUGGAGACAGGUGGUGCAUGGUUGUCGUCAGCUCGUGUCGUGAGAUGUUGGGUCAAGUCCCGCAACGAGCGCAACCCUUGUCCGUAGUAGCCAGCAGUAAGAUGGGAACUCUACGGAGACUGCCGGGGAUAACCCGGAGGAAGGUGGGGAUGACGUCAAAUCAUCAUGCCCCUUACGGUCUGGGCGACACACGUGCUACAAUGGCGUAACAAAGGGAAGCGAGCCCGCGAGGGGGAGCAAACCCCAAAAAUAGCGUCCCAGUUCGGACUGUAGUCUGCAACCCGACUACACGAAGCCGGAAUCGCUAGUAAUCGCGGAUCAGAAUGCCGCGGUGAAUACGUUCCCGGGUCUUGUACACACCGCCCGUCACACCAUGGGAGUUGGUAAUGCCCGAAGCCGGUGGCCUAACGAAAGAGGGAGCCGUCGAAGGCAGGACCGAUGACUGGGGUGAAGUCGUAACAAGGAGCUGUU
This 587-nucleotide ribosomal RNA is filed under the name uncultured bacterium. RNAcentral describes it as "bacterial SSU rRNA". It matches the Rfam family "Bacterial small subunit ribosomal RNA", at positions 912 to 1503 of the family's 1533-position model. The record is from RNAcentral.